ACGACCGUCGGUAGAGCCGAAACGCCGACACGGCGAUUAUUAUGCCGUUUGAGACGUAGAAAGACAACGAGGACGCGAGGAACGAACCGUAUCCGACGAAACCGCUAGUCUUUCCUAUGGUAUAGACACCUGACUCAGAAUCACGGACUAUUAAUGCAUUUUUUCGUACUCGAUAAUAGUUAUCAUUAAAUUCCGUAAAUAAUGAUACCAUGACGUAAAU
This is a non-coding RNA of Cinara cedri, 220 nucleotides long. NCBI's taxonomy places the organism in Eukaryota, Metazoa, Arthropoda, Insecta, Hemiptera, Aphididae. The record is from the annotation of a GenBank genome assembly.